UAUUUUGACUAUACAAAGGUAUUGUAAUAAGAUUUUAAUUGAAUGCUAAAAGAAUGGAAAUUUAAAAAAAAACUUUUUUAAAAAUAAAAAUUGAAUUUUUUUUAAUUUGUGCAAAAACAAUUAUACUUAUUAAAGACAAGAAGACCCUAAGAAUUUAAGAUUUUACAAUUAAAAAGUUUUUUUUUUAAAAUCUUGAUUGGGGCGAUCAAAAAAUAUUAAUAACUUUUUAAAAUUUAAAUUGAUCUAUUAUUAAUAAACUAAUGAAUUAAAUACUCUAGGGAUAACAGCGUAAUAAUUUUUGAUAGAUCUUAUUGACAAAAUAGUUUGCGACCUCGAUGUUGGAUUAGGAUUCUUUUUUAAUGAAGAAGUUAAAAAAAGAAGUUUGUUCAACUUUUAAAUUCCU
Molecule: ribosomal RNA, 403 nt
Filed under: Hyalomma marginatum
Lineage: Eukaryota; Metazoa; Arthropoda; Arachnida; Ixodida; Ixodidae
Description: partial large subunit ribosomal RNA
Source: RNAcentral